AGAGUUUGAUCCUGGCUCAGAGCGAACGCUGGCGGCAGGCUUAACACAUGCAAGUCGAGCGGGCACCUUUCGGGGUGUCAGCGGCGGACGGGUGAGUAACGCGUGGGAACGUGCCCUCUGGUUCGGAAUAACUCAGGGAAACUUGAGCUAAUACCGGAUACGCCCUUUUGGGGAAAGGCUUGCUGCCGGAGGAUCGGCCCGCGUCUGAUUAGCUAGUUGGUGAGGUAACGGCUCACCAAGGCGACGAUCAGUAGCUGGUCUGAGAGGAUGAUCAGCCACACUGGGACUGAGACACGGCCCAGACUCCUACGGGAGGCAGCAGUGGGGAAUAUUGGACAAUGGGCGCAAGCCUGAUCCAGCCAUGCCGCGUGAGUGAUGAAGGCCCU
This 386-nucleotide ribosomal RNA is filed under the name Methylobacterium sp. ED323. RNAcentral describes it as "bacterial SSU rRNA". It matches the Rfam family "Bacterial small subunit ribosomal RNA", at positions 8 to 418 of the family's 1533-position model. Lineage: Bacteria; Pseudomonadati; Pseudomonadota; Alphaproteobacteria; Hyphomicrobiales; Methylobacteriaceae. The record is from RNAcentral.